Molecule: ribosomal RNA, 2475 nt
Filed under: Enterococcus faecalis
Lineage: Bacteria; Bacillati; Bacillota; Bacilli; Lactobacillales; Enterococcaceae
Description: partial 23S ribosomal RNA
Rfam family: Bacterial large subunit ribosomal RNA
Source: RNAcentral
GGUUAAGUUAGAAAGGGCGCACGGUGGAUGCCUUGGCACUAGGAGCCGAAGAAGGACGGGACUAACACCGAUAUGCUUUGGGGAGCUGUACGUAAGCGUUGAUCCAGAGAUUUCCGAAUGGGGGAACCCACUAUCUUUAGUCGGAUAGUAUCCUUACGUGAAUACAUAGCGUGAGGAAGGCAGACCCAGGGAACUGAAACAUCUAAGUACCUGGAGGAAGAGAAAGAAAAAUCGAUUUCCUGAGUAGCGGCGAGCGAAACGGAAAGAGCCCAAACCAAGAAGCUUGCUUCUUGGGGUUGUAGGACACUCUAUACGGAGUUACAAAAGAAAGUUAUAAAUGAAGCGGUCUGGAAAGGCCCGCCAAAGACGGUAACAGCCCGGUAGUUGAAAUGGCUUUCCCUCCAGAGUGGAUCCUGAGUACGGCGGAACACGUGAAAUUCCGUCGGAAUCCGGGAGGACCAUCUCCCAAGGCUAAAUACUCCCUAGUGACCGAUAGUGAACCAGUACCGUGAGGGAAAGGUGAAAAGCACCCCGGAAGGGGAGUGAAACAGUUCCUGAAACCGUGUGCCUACAAGUAGUUAGAGCCCGUUAAUGGGUGAUAGCGUGCCUUUUGUAGAAUGAACCGGCGAGUUACGAUUUGUUGCAAGGUUAAGCGGAAAAAGCGGAGCCGUAGCGAAAGCGAGUCUGAAUAGGGCGCAUAAGUAACAGGUCGUAGACCCGAAACCAGGUGAUCUACCCAUGUCCAGGAUGAAGGUAAGGUAAUACUUACUGGAGGUCCGAACCCACGCACGUUGAAAAGUGCGGGGAUGAGGUGUGGGUAGCGGAGAAAUUCCAAUCGAACUUGGAGAUAGCUGGUUCUCUCCGAAAUAGCUUUAGGGCUAGCCUCGAGGUAAAGAGUCAUGGAGGUAGAGCACUGUUUGGACUAGGGGCCCUUCUCGGGUUACCGAAUUCAGAUAAACUCCGAAUGCCAUGUACUUAUACUCGGGAGUCAGACUGCGAGUGAUAAGAUCCGUAGUCGAAAGGGAAACAGCCCAGACCACCAGUUAAGGUCCCCAAAUAUAUGUUAAGUGGAAAAGGAUGUGGGGUUGCUUAGACAACCAGGAUGUUGGCUUAGAAGCAGCCACCAUUGAAAGAGUGCGUAAUAGCUCACUGGUCGAGUGACCCCGCGCCGAAAAUGUACCGGGGCUAAACAUAUUACCGAAACUGUGGAUGAACCUCUUUAGAGGUUCGUGGUAGGAGAGCGUUCUAAGGGCGGUGAAGUCAGACCGGAAGGACUGGUGGAGCGCUUAGAAGUGAGAAUGCCGGUAUGAGUAGCGAAAGAAGGGUGAGAAUCCCUUCCACCGAAUAUCUAAGGUUUCCUGAGGAAGGCUCGUCCGCUCAGGGUUAGUCGGGACCUAAGCCGAGGCCGAUAGGCGUAGGCGAUGGACAACAGGUAGAGAUUCCUGUACCAGUGCUAAUUGUUUAACCGAUGGGGUGACACAGAAGGAUAGGGAAUCGCACGAAUGGAAAUGUGCGUCCAAGCAGUGAGUGUGAGAAGUAGGCAAAUCCGCUUCUCGCGAAGCAUGAGCUGUGAUGGGGAAGGAAAUUAAGUACGGAAGUUCCUGAUUUCACGCUGUCAAGAAAAGCCUCUAGGAAGAGUAGUACUGCCCGUACCGCAAACCGACACAGGUAGAUGAGGAGAGAAUCCUAAGGUGAGCGAGAGAACUCUCGUUAAGGAACUCGGCAAAAUGACCCCGUAACUUCGGGAGAAGGGGUGCUCUAUUAGGGUGCAAGCCCGAGAGAGCCGCAGUGAAUAGGCCCAGGCGACUGUUUAGCAAAAACACAGGUCUCUGCAAAACCGUAAGGUGACGUAUAGGGGCUGACGCCUGCCCGGUGCUGGAAGGUUAAGAGGAGUGCUUAGCUUCGGCGAAGGUACGAAUUGAAGCCCCAGUAAACGGCGGCCGUAACUAUAACGGUCCUAAGGUAGCGAAAUUCCUUGUCGGGUAAGUUCCGACCCGCACGAAAGGCGCAACGAUCUGGGCACUGUCUCAACGAGAGACUCGGUGAAAUUAUAGUACCUGUGAAGAUGCAGGUUACCCGCGACAGGACGGAAAGACCCCGUGGAGCUUUACUGCAACCUGAUAUGGAAUGUUUGUACCGCUUGUACAGGAUAGGUAGGAGCCGAAGAGACGUGUGCGCUAGCAUACGAGGAGGCAAUGGUGGGAUACUACCCUGGCUGUAUGACCAUUCUAACCCGCCACGCUUAGCGCGUGGGGAGACAGUGUCAGGUGGGCAGUUUGACUGGGGCGGUCGCCUCCUAAAGAGUAACGGAGGCGCCCAAAGGUUCCCUCAGAAUGGAUGGAAAUCAUUCGCAGAGUGUAAAGGCACAAGGGAGCUUGACUGCGAGACUGACAAGUCGAGCAGGGACGAAAGUCGGGCUUAGUGAUCCGGUGGUUCCGCAUGGAAGGGCCAUCGCUCAACGGAUAAAAGCUACCC